CAGCAGCAGCCACGGUAAUACGAAGGGGGCUAGCGUUGCUCGGAAUGACUGGGCGUAAAGGGCGCGUAGGCGGCGAUCAAAGUCAGGCGUGAAAUUCCUGGGCUCAACCUGGGGGCUGCGCUUGAUACUUGGUUGCUUGAGUGGGGAAGAGGGUCGUGGAAUUCCCAGUGUAGAGGUGAAAUUCGUAGAUAUUGGGAAGAACACCGGUGGCGAAGGCGGCGACCUGGUCCUUGACUGACGCUGAGGCGCGAAAGCGUGGGGAGCAGACAGGAUUAGAUACCCCCGUAGUCCCUGUCUCUUAUAC
Molecule: ribosomal RNA, 304 nt
Filed under: uncultured bacterium
Lineage: Bacteria
Description: partial 16S ribosomal RNA
Rfam family: Bacterial small subunit ribosomal RNA
Source: RNAcentral